Molecule: ribosomal RNA, 2644 nt
Filed under: Escherichia coli
Lineage: Bacteria; Pseudomonadati; Pseudomonadota; Gammaproteobacteria; Enterobacterales; Enterobacteriaceae
Description: partial 23S ribosomal RNA
Rfam family: Bacterial large subunit ribosomal RNA
Source: RNAcentral
GCCUGAAUCAGUGUGUGUGUUAGUGGAAGCGUCUGGAAAGGCGCGCGAUACAGGGUGACAGCCCCGUACACAAAAAUGCACAUACUGUGAGCUCGAUGAGUAGGGCGGGACACGUGGUAUCCUGUCUGAAUAUGGGGGGACCAUCCUCCAAGGCUAAAUACUCCUGACUGACCGAUAGUGAACCAGUACCGUGAGGGAAAGGCGAAAAGAACCCCGGCGAGGGGAGUGAAAAAGAACCUGAAACCGUGUACGUACAAGCAGUGGGAGCCUCUUAAUGGGGUGACUGCGUACCUUUUGUAUAAUGGGUCAGCGACUUAUAUUCUGUAGCAAGGUUAACCGAAUAGGGGAGCCGAAGGGAAACCGAGUCUUAACUGGGCGUUAAGUUGCAGGGUAUAGACCCGAAACCCGGUGAUCUAGCCAUGGGCAGGUUGAAGGUUGGGUAACACUAACUGGAGGACCGAACCGACUAAUGUUGAAAAAUUAGCGGAUGACUUGUGGCUGGGGGUGAAAGGCCAAUCAAACCGGGAGAUAGCUGGUUCUCCCCGAAAGCUAUUUAGGUAGCGCCUCGUGAAUUCAUCUCCGGGGGUAGAGCACUGUUUCGGCAAGGGGGUCAUCCCGACUUACCAACCCGAUGCAAACUGCGAAUACCGGAGAAUGUUAUCACGGGAGACACACGGCGGGUGCUAACGUCCGUCGUGAAGAGGGAAACAACCCAGACCGCCAGCUAAGGUCCCAAAGUCAUGGUUAAGUGGGAAACGAUGUGGGAAGGCCCAGACAGCCAGGAUGUUGGCUUAGAAGCAGCCAUCAUUUAAAGAAAGCGUAAUAGCUCACUGGUCGAGUCGGCCUGCGCGGAAGAUGUAACGGGGCUAAACCAUGCACCGAAGCUGCGGCAGCGACACUAUGUGUUGUUGGGUAGGGGAGCGUUCUGUAAGCCUGUGAAGGUGUACUGUGAGGUAUGCUGGAGGUAUCAGAAGUGCGAAUGCUGACAUAAGUAACGAUAAAGCGGGUGAAAAGCCCGCUCGCCGGAAGACCAAGGGUUCCUGUCCAACGUUAAUCGGGGCAGGGUGAGUCGACCCCUAAGGCGAGGCCGAAAGGCGUAGUCGAUGGGAAACAGGUUAAUAUUCCUGUACUUGGUGUUACUGCGAAGGGGGGACGGAGAAGGCUAUGUUGGCCGGGCGACGGUUGUCCCGGUUUAAGCGUGUAGGCUGGUUUUCCAGGCAAAUCCGGAAAAUCAAGGCUGAGGCGUGAUGACGAGGCACUACGGUGCUGAAGCGACAAAUGCCCUGCUUCCAGGAAAAGCCUCUAAGCAUCAGGUAACAUCAAAUCGUACCCCAAACCGACACAGGUGGUCAGGUAGAGAAUACCAAGGCGCUUGAGAGAACUCGGGUGAAGGAACUAGGCAAAAUGGUGCCGUAACUUCGGGAGAAGGCACGCUGAUAUGUAGGUGAAGCGACUUGCUCGUGGAGCUGAAAUCAGUCGAAGAUACCAGCUGGCUGCAACUGUUUAUUAAAAACACAGCACUGUGCAAACACGAAAGUGGACGUAUACGGUGUGACGCCUGCCCGGUGCCGGAAGGUUAAUUGAUGGGGUUAGCGGUAACGCGAAGCUCUUGAUCGAAGCCCCGGUAAACGGCGGCCGUAACUAUAACGGUCCUAAGGUAGCGAAAUUCCUUGUCGGGUAAGUUCCGACCUGCACGAAUGGCGUAAUGAUGGCCAGGCUGUCUCCACCCGAGACUCAGUGAAAUUGAACUCGCUGUGAAGAUGCAGUGUACCCGCGGCAAGACGGAAAGACCCCGUGAACCUUUACUAUAGCUUGACACUGAACAUUGAGCCUUGAUGUGUAGGAUAGGUGGGAGGCUUUGAAGUGUGGACGCCAGUCUGCAUGGAGCCGACCUUGAAAUACCACCCUUUAAUGUUUGAUGUUCUAACGUGGGCCCCUUACCGGGGUUGCGGACAGUGUCUGGUGGGUAGUUUGACUGGGGCGGUCUCCUCCUAAAGAGUAACGGAGGAGCACGAAGGUUGGCUAAUCCUGGUCGGACAUCAGGAGGUUAGUGCAAUGGCAUAAGCCAGCUUGACUGCGAGCGUGACGGCGCGAGCAGGUGCGAAAGCAGGUCAUAGUGAUCCGGUGGUUCUGAAUGGAAGGGCCAUCGCUCAACGGAUAAAAGGUACUCCGGGGAUAACAGGCUGAUACCGCCCAAGAGUUCAUAUCGACGGCGGUGUUUGGCACCUCGAUGUCGGCUCAUCACAUCCUGGGGCUGAAGUAGGUCCCAAGGGUAUGGCUGUUCGCCAUUUAAAGUGGUACGCGAGCUGGGUUUAGAACGUCGUGAGACAGUUCGGUCCCUAUCUGCCGUGGGCGCUGGAGAACUGAGGGGGGCUGCUCCUAGUACGAGAGGACCGGAGUGGACGCAUCACUGGUGUUCGGGUUGUCAUGCCAAUGGCACUGCCCGGUAGCUAAAUGCGGAAGAGAUAAGUGCUGAAAGCAUCUAAGCACGAAACUUGCCCCGAGAUGAGUUCUCCCUGACUCCUUGAGAGUCCUGAAGGAACGUUGAAGACGACGACGUUGAUAGGCCGGGUGUGUAAGCGCAGCGAUGCGUUGAGCUAACCGGUACUAAUGAACCGUGAGGCUUAACCUUACAACGCCGAAG